GUACCUUCAAGCUCUGCUUGGUGUUGGGUGUUUGUCUCGCCUCUGCGUGUAGACUCGCCUCAAAACAAUUGGCAGCCGGCGUAUUGAUUUCGGAGCGCAGUACAUCUCGCGCUCUGCACUCAAAACGACGACGUCCAAAAGUACAUUCUUACAC
This 154-nucleotide unclassified non-coding RNA is filed under the name uncultured fungus. RNAcentral describes it as "sequence contains ITS2". Lineage: Eukaryota; Fungi. RNAcentral also lists the same sequence under 2 other names. The record is from RNAcentral.